UUAGUGAUAAUUAGCUAAACCGCUUCCUCGCGCUGCUUUGCCACCGUCCGCACAUAGCCUACUUUUAUUAAUUAGACCACAUCAUUUCGACGUUUGAGUCGUUACUUUGUGUGAAAACAUUUUCAAACAUCGCUCUAAAUAAUAUUAUUAACCCCCCAGCCCCAUGUCGUCGAUUCAACGUGCAGCUGCUACGCAAUCAGUUUUUUUCUGCCUCCUUCUAUGUUUUUUGUCGCAUUGGAUUUAAAGGCGCAGCGGAGUUGGAUAUUACUGGGACCCAAGUUAUAGGCUAGGUGUUGGCUGCUGUGUGCGUGUGAAAAGGGGAAAUCGGGGAAACAUGAUUUUCAGUAACUCGCACAGUGUCCUCCGGUGAGUUUGGGAUACGGGACGCUGAAAACGUCGACAGGGACGUCGAGAAAGCCGGGGAUCAAACUGGAAGGCGUCCAGCUGGCAGGCUGAGCAGUAGUGGGCCUCACAAAACAGAGGACGCAGUGAAGGACACUGGGAUAGCCUAUCCAGACACCCACCCCUGCUGGAUUAUGGGUAACCAUACUGGCAAAGAGACCCAUGGCACUACAGGUUCUCCUUUAGAUUUCUUCCACACACCUCCUACCACGCCCUCAGAGGCAGAUCUCGCUGCCAUGGCCUUGUCAUCUGCAGCUUCCUCUAAGAAGACACAGACACCAUCUCCAGCUGGCAGCACCACCCCCUCCGCCACCUCUUCAGUCGCUGACUGGACACAGAAACUGUCUUCUCCCUCAGAAUGGGCUGUGAUAAGUGUAGACAGUAUCAGCUACUCUGAGACAAAGGUGAGCGAUGCAGCAGCGAGCCACAGGAAGGCGAAGCUCAGCCCGGGCAGCCCGGCGUCCCUGCCUUCAGAGCAGAGCUGGCAGGAGCAGGAUAGUGGAAUGGAGCCGCAGGCUGCAGCAGAGAGAGUCAGAGAGGAGAUGACCCUGGUUUUAAUCAGUCUGAUGGACCACUACAGGGCCUCACUAGGCCUGACCCCCAACACUGAUGUUACCACAGGCGCAGUAGAGCUGCUCAGGCGUUUGAUAACAGAGAAAGAUGAGCUGGUUGAGGAGGUGGACACACUGAGGGAGACACUGAGGACGGAAAGGUUGGAGUGGCAUCAGUUUCAGUGUGACCUGCAGGUUGCUGUGUCUGUGGCUGACCGGCUGCGGGUCGAGUCGGAGCAAGCUCUGGGUUUGCUCCAGGAGAGCCACAGGGCUGUGGAGGAGCAGUUGGCUCAGGCCCUCAUCAGACAGCAGGAGAAGGAUGGAGAGCUGGAGAGUCUGAGAUCCGAGCACAGAGACGUCUGCCUCAAACUAAGAGAACUCACCCUGCAGCAGCAGCAGGAGCGGGCCGAGCUGGACGCUCUGAGAAACGCUUACAGGGUGAAAGACGUAACAGAUUGUGAUGAGAAGGCGGAGAGACAAGACUCUGAUGGGGGGGAGGAAAUACAAGAAGUCUUGGAGGAAAAGCCCAGGGAAGUUCAAACUGACACUGAAGCUAAAAAUGUUGAAAAACAAAGAGAGGAGAAUGAAACAAAUCAAGAGGUAGAUGCUGAAGUUGUAGGUCAUGAUCCUGAGGAGGCAAAUGGAUCAGGGAGCAUGUACCUGAGAGGCAAAGGGGUGGCGGAGGGAUACCUUCGUAGUUUGGCUGCUCUGGAGAAAAAGAAAGAAGGGGGACGUGGGCAGAAAGAUCCGAGGAGGAUUGUGAUGCUUUGUGAAAGAUCUUGGAGUCUCUCUCGUCUCCCACUCUCAUCUGACUCCUCCAGUGAGAAAGGGACCUCAAAAAACACAAGCACAACGUUGCCACUAUGCAAGAAAGAAGAACCACCAAAACAGAGACGGAUAGACCGAAUUUUACAGCGGCAGGACAGCUGGUCCAGUUUUUACACAGGAAAACAGGAUGAGGACCAAAGCACAGAUUCCAUCAAACCUCAGGAUGGUUUCAGUGCUCUGCUGAGGCGUCAUGGCGGCUCCAGAAGAAACUCCCUGCUGCGCUGGUGCCAGAGUCGUACACAAGGUUAUAAGAAUAUUGAGAUCACAAACUUCAGCAGCAGCUGGGAGGACGGCAUGGCGUUCUGUGCUGUUUAUCACACUUAUUUGCCGACUCUCAUCCCGUACGACACCCUAAACCCAGCAGACAAGGAUUCUUGCACACUGUUGCGUUUUGGUCCUCAGACAACCUGAUGAAGGUCAAAGGACCAAAGCAUCGUUAAUGGAAAGGAAAAUCUGGACCUUGCUUUUAAGACCGGAGAGAGUGUGGGAAUCACUGCAGCACUGACAGCGGAGGAGAUGCUGAAGGAAGACGGGCCGGACUGGCAGAAGGUCUUGGGUUAUGUCGAAAGCAUUUUCCGUCACUUU
Molecule: RNA transcript, 2366 nt
Organism: Micropterus dolomieu (smallmouth bass)
Lineage: Eukaryota; Metazoa; Chordata; Actinopteri; Centrarchiformes; Centrarchidae
Gene name: cytospin-A-like
Exons: 13
Source: RefSeq, a predicted model, not a curated record